RNAcentral lists this non-coding RNA (38 nucleotides) under Trichobilharzia regenti. The record is from RNAcentral. Lineage: Eukaryota; Metazoa; Platyhelminthes; Trematoda; Strigeidida; Schistosomatidae.
UGACGAGUGCCAAAUAGGACGAAAUGCGCAUCCUGGAU